Molecule: unclassified non-coding RNA, 265 nt
Filed under: Hevea brasiliensis (rubber tree)
Lineage: Eukaryota; Viridiplantae; Streptophyta; Magnoliopsida; Malpighiales; Euphorbiaceae
Source: RNAcentral
AAAAAACUGUCCAUUGAACUACUAAAUUCACCAAAAUUCGAACUUGACAACAUUUCUUGGGUAGAAAUGUCCAGCUCCCCGUCAGCCAUAAUUGAAACCUCAAUAGUAACCAAUAUGUCAAACUAGUGAAGCAGAGUCUGAGGCGUGAAAAAGGAGAGAAAAAUGGGGGUGCGAGGAAAAGUGAAGGAACCCUAGAAAAGGCUAAAAAGGGGUGUUAAGAUGUCAAAUAGUUUUAAUGGCGGAAAAAGAAUGGAGGAAAACAAAG